This is a long non-coding RNA of Malaclemys terrapin pileata, 567 nucleotides long. RefSeq lists it as uncharacterized. The record is from RefSeq and is a predicted model, not a curated record. The transcript has 3 exons. NCBI's taxonomy places the organism in Eukaryota, Metazoa, Chordata, Testudines, Emydidae.
CCUGCCUCGUUCAAUGCACAGGUUGAUUCUGCUCUGGAGGAUGAAUCAGGGUUAUGUAGUGAAGGAGACUGUCGUCUGUAGGACCGCUACCUCAUGUGUCGCAGAAGUUGGAAGAUGGGGAACAGAGACACAGAUUGAUGGAUUUGCCCAAGGUCACCCAGGGAGUCAGUGGCAGAGCUUGGAAUUGAACCUCCCCCACCCCAUGUCCUAAGUCCCAUUCUAUUGCCUUAGUCACCAGAUCAUACUUCCUCUGUGCAGCCGCAUGGAAGGAAGCCACCUGUAGGAGGAAAGUUCUGCCCAGAAUGAGUCUGAUACUGACAGCCAGCUGGAGGCUCCAAUCCAGGGUGUGGCUGACUGUGUGUUGGUCUGGAGAGAUUCCCUGUGAGAACCUGAAGCGAAAAGGUCUGUGUAAGGAGGUUUGGGAUUGUUGUAUCAGAGUUGUGGUCCAUGUGGACCCUGAAGUCUCUCAAGAUGAUGAAUCUUGUGAGCUCUAUCCCUAUCAGAUUGUGUGCAUCUCUCUCUGUCCCUCAGGGAAGCCUUUGCUGCCUGGGGAUCUCAUCAGUAGGA